CCCGUUUACUAGGAACUUCCUCCUUUCGAGCCCUAUAAAAGAGCACAGCUACUGAGCUGGAAAGCAUAUGACGGAGAGGACAGUGGUUUCAGCCCCGAGAUUCACAACAGGGAUUUCCUAAUGGUUUUGAUAUUUGUUAGGUCGCUCCUGGGUUCCUCCCUCCGAAAACUGCAGUUGGUUUUUCCAUCAUUCUGUACAGAGGGUGGACUUGCCAGUCCGUAUACGAAGCAUAAACUUUGGAUUCUGAUGCAGAGGAUCUGCUUCCAUGGGUAGAGCCCACUCCACAGCUGUGACAUCAAGGACCCAUCGACUCCUCUCCUCCUCCUGCUUUUCCUGACCCUCCAAGCCUGUUGCAGAAAUUGGAUCCUGUCAACAGAAGAGGAUUGAAAACACUUCUGUCCCUACCGCAAAAAAAGGCCAGCAUGUUCGUGGGCAAAAAGGUCAUCCCGUUCCAGCAGGCAUGAACUUUGUCCCAUUCAUGCCUGCAGCCACAGCAUGAGAUAGGAUUCUACACUUGGUGGUAACUCAAGCCGCAUACAUGCUCUUGAAAGAAAGGUAACCAAAGGGGUAGUCCAGAGGCUCCUUGAUAGUUCUACAGGACCCGGGACAAAACAGAAGCAGGAGCUUCAUCUUCACUUCCCCUAUAAAGAUGCUAGGAUUUCACCAGGUAGAGAACUUGGUUUGCUUUUGAAUCAAUCACCUUUUCCCCAAUCCCUAGACUUCAGUCCCCUUUAGAUCCAAUGCAGAAGGAACUGACAUUGGAGAUUGAGAGCCCACAGUAGCCACUUAGGGGGAGGAGAGGGGAGGUCAGGUCUGUGAUGAAGAAUCAUCAUCAUCAGUUUUGAAUGAUGUCCAGCUGGAGGGGGACACUGCAGCAAGAGGGGGAGGGAGCCUUUGCUCUUCGACCCUCCACUUAGUGUUUCAUGGUUGGGAGGUACUAGAUAUCUCCUGUAAAAAAAAGUUGUUUUCAGACAUUGCGUCUCAUGCGUCUGAUGGGAUGGGGUGUUUGACACAUCUAUACCAUACCUACUGAUUAUUCGUGCCAGACAGAAAUAAAAUGCUUGUGAGA
This is a long non-coding RNA of Alligator mississippiensis (American alligator), 1069 nucleotides long. RefSeq lists it as uncharacterized. The record is from RefSeq and is a predicted model, not a curated record. The transcript is spliced from 3 exons. Lineage: Eukaryota; Metazoa; Chordata; Crocodylia; Alligatoridae.